Molecule: long non-coding RNA, 4292 nt
Organism: Lycium barbarum (goji berry)
Lineage: Eukaryota; Viridiplantae; Streptophyta; Magnoliopsida; Solanales; Solanaceae
Exons: 2
Source: RefSeq, a predicted model, not a curated record
GCUUUUCCAUUUUUGAAUAAUUAUUUUAUCAAAUGUCUACAUGUUUCUUUUUCUGUUACUUUGUUUUGUUUGAAUUUACCGCAGUUGUAUGCUAAAUUUGUUAGUUGAGAUUCAUGAGGUUUAAGCUAAUAAUUUCGUAACUGUCAUUUUGUUUCAAUUUAAAUUAGGACAAAUAAUACUAAGUGUUACUAAUAGUGAGGUUUAUGUGAAGUUGCUGCAAGUAUGAUGCUUGUUAGCCUUAUAUUUUAAGCAUUAAUUGUUUCACAUGAAGUGUUAAUGAGUAUAAUGCUAGUUGGUUCUGCUUUAUUGUUUUCACUGGUUUGAACAUAUUCUCUUAGCAUUUUAUUGUUUCCAUAAUGAUUAGGCUGUGUACGGUGGGUCUAGAUCGAUAUUUCAAGGCCUAAUUAUUAAUUGUGUGAUGAGCGAGAUGAGAUGCGUUAUUUCAAAUCUCGUUGUCAAAGGAAAAGAAAAGAGCGGAAAAACCAAUUGUAAAGGAGCAAGAUGGGUUGCGAAUUUAUUCAAAACCCGUUGUCAAAAGAGUGAAAGUUUAACCAAAUAAUAUUAAGUCUCAGAUUUUAGAGAUAAAUAAUUGUCUUUUACGCUAGAUGAGCUUUAGGUACGUUUUAAAAUGUUUGUCUUGAUUAAGAAUGCGGUCACACAUCUUAUUUCGAGACGCUUUAAACAACUCAAGGAUGCGGUUACGCACUUUGGCCAAAUUCGUUUUAACAAUUAAUUUUGAAUCGAUUAAGAAUGCAGCUACGCAUCUUAUUUUGAGACACUUAAAAGAUCCAGAAUGUGCAUCCGGGUUAAGACUAAUAAAAGUUCAACAAUAAAAAAGUACGAGCAAAUCAAGGCACGGGAACAUAAAUUAUCCAAAAUUAGUUUAAACUAAGUAUAAGUCGAUGAAGCGAUCGUGCUAGAAUCACGGGACUCGAGGCAUGCCUAACACCUUCUCCCCGGUCAACAGAAUUCCUUACCCGGUCUUUUGUUUUCGCAGACCAAUAAUAAAAGAGUCAUUUGCUUUUGAUUAGGGAUUCAUAAGGUGACUUGGGACACCAAAACUCAAUUCCAAAUGACAAUUCUGUUAAAUAAAAUAAUCCCUAUUCAAAACUGUCACUUCAAUUGAAAAAACCCAAAAAGGGGUGUGACAGUUUCAUCGGAGAUACCUUUUAUGUAGCCAAUAAUUCAGUACCCUUUACUAUUUCUAAUGACGCCUCCUAUGCCUCCUACUUCAGUAUUUCCUAUGGAGAAGCCAUUAGUGUUAAGCUUAUAAGUACCCCUAUCAUAUGGCUCCCAUUUGACAUUAAAUAAUGUCCUCUUACUGGUGUUUAAAUCACUUCUGGUUAGUCGAUCAUACUUCAGUCUUUGAGUACAAAUUAUUAAAGGAUGGUAGAUCAUUUCUUCCAUUAAAUUAAUUAGUGUUCCUAUUUAGCCAGAUAUGCCAGAAAUAAAAAAGGUAAGAGAUAAUUCCAACCGAUAAGGUUAUUAAAAGGCCUGUCUGCAAUUCUUUUCCAAGUGGCAUGUCAGUUAGCACUUAGGAGCAUCAAAGGAAGAACUUGAUAUAGAGUCAUCAAUUGUAAUAUUUAAAAUAUUUAAAUAAUUUUAUGAAUUUAAAUUGGAAUGAGGUAUAGAAACACACCUAAACUAUGAUGAAAUUGUCAAUUACAUAUCUAAACUAUGCGGGGAUCCUAUUACAUUCCUGAACUUUUUUUUUUUUUUUGUAUUAUUUACCUCCUUCACUAAUUACCUGAAAAAAUUAAUCAGUUAAUACGUAUCAUGCAUACAUGCGCCUAUCCUAGAUUAAAAAAAGAAAAAAGAAAAAAGAAAAAAAGAGGAGUUUUAAUAUCUUAUUUUAUUUGAUUCUUUUAGACCCAAACCGAUUAGACAUCACUGUCUCUCAAGUCUCAACCCCUAGAUGAAUGAUAACAUUUUCACUCUGUGUUAUACUUUAAUGGAGCCUAAAUUUUCCGUUCCUUUUUCUAGUUAGACAUGUUCUUUGCAUCUAAUAUACUCGAGAGCGUGGACUUUCUCAUUUGUUUGAAUAUGUUCAAUGCGAAAUGCUUAGGCUUGACUUUAUUCCUUAUGCAGAAUUCUUUAUUAGUUUAAAGAGAUGCUGAAUAUUACUCAGAAAUUUUGAUUAGCUUAUAGGAGAUAAUGGUAAAAAACACACAUGAGCUAUCAUUUUUCGUGAGUUUCACACUCCAACUAUCCACUGUUUCCUUUGCCUACCUAAACUAUCACUAUCUAUGAAUUUAAGCACACCUCAUUAAGUAGUUGACAGUGCGUAAUGUACAUACUCAAUUUUUGUUUUAAAAAAAAAAGGUUUUCAAGUGGCCCUCCACGUGGAUAAAUAUUUUCACCUAUGCAAAACUAAAAUAACUAGAAUUAGGUUAGAACUUAAAAAAGUGGCCUGUUUGUGAUUGUUUUUGAAUCAUUUGUCCUUGUCAGCUUCGAGGUAUGUUUAAACACAUCGAUAGUGAUAGUUCAGGUGUGUUUUUACCAUUAUCUCUAGCUUAAAGAAAUAUUGAAUGUUGCUCAGAAUCCUGGAUUAGCUUAAAGAGAUGUUGAAUAUUACUCAGAAUCAUUGACGUUGUAUUUUGUUGUGUCUGAGACUUGAAAAAUGAUGACACCCGGCCGGUUUAUGUUUGAAAGAACCAAAUGAAAUAAAACAUCAAAAAUCCCCCUCUUCUUUUUAUCUAGUAUAGGCGCGGAUAUGUAUAUGGCAUAUUUUAACUUUUUUUUUUACUAGGUAAUUAGUGAAGGGGUAAAUAAUACGAAAAAGAUAAGUUCGGGGUGAGAGGUAAUAGGAACACCCCCCCCCCCCCGCGCGCGCGCGCAUAGUCUUAGGUGUGUAAUUGAAAAUUUCAUCAUAGUUUAGGUGUGUUUCUAUGCCUUAACAACAACAGACCCAGUGCAAUCCCACAAGUGGGGUCUGGAUAGGGUGGUGAAUACACAACCUUAUCCGUAACUAGUGAAGGUUAAGAGGUUAUUUCCGAUAGACCCUCGGCUCAAGUAAAACAUAUUAAAAUCAAGUAUGGAAAGAAAAUACACAAUGAAGAAAUUGUACUGAAAAUAAUGGAGAAGAGAACAAUAGCAACAACAAGUAAUAUGAUAACCAAAGCAAAGGGAACAACAUGUAAUAAUAAAAUCGAAGAAUAACACAGUAGGAGAGUAAUAAUAACAAUAUUGACGAGGAAAACUUGACAACGCUCGACUACUUAUUAUCCUUCUACUCGAAUCCUCGACCUCCAUAUCCUCAUAUCUAGGGUUAUGUCCCCGGUAAGCUGCAAGUGUUCUAUGUUCUGUCUAAUCUCCUCUCUCCAAUACUUCAUCAACCUACCUCUACCUCUCGUCAUAUCCACAUAUCCACAUAUCCAACCUCUCACACCUCUUUACUAGGACAUCGGCGCAUCUCCUUUUCACAUGCCUGAGCCAUCUCAGUCUCGCUUUCCUCAUCUUGUCAGUUACCCUGAAAUCAUUUUGUGUAUACUUCCUUAUAUUUUGAUUUCUCUUUCUAUAUAAUAUGUAUAUUUAAUUUAAUUUAAACUAUUAAUAAGUGAAGCUUUGGUUGUACGACAAAGGGUAUUUCUGGUAUAUCACUUUUAAUUACUCUGAUGACACGUUUUCAGUUAGUGUGAUACAACUGGUUUCAACCUUCCAAAAUUUAUGUCAAACAACAAUGGAGGCUAAAAUUAACGGUGGUUUUCCAUCGAUUGAAGCUCAGUCCAUUUCUUUCUUCCUUCUUUGGUGUUCUCUUGUUCUUUUUUUUUUUCUCCUCUGUUGGACUGCUGGACUAAUGAUAAAUCCGUACAUUUGCCAAAGUCCAUGAAUUUCCGAUUGAUGGGAUCCAAUCAAGACACUUCAUAUUCACGAUAAUUUUUGGGUGAGGAACAAGGCUUGAAGUUUCAUCAUGAAUGAUUAAGUUGUUCUAGCUGUUGUUGGUUUCUGUUAUCCUAGCAUGUACUAUGAAAUCUUAACAUCUUCACCCUACGCUCUACAAUAUUUAUGUUGUACAAAUUGCACCGAUGAAAGAAAUUAGUAAAAUACCUAGAUUAGAGCUAAUAUGUUAUGGGCUUACGGCCGUAAUAGUAUUCACUCGAGGUGUUGAAAUUAUAUUGUUUUCAACAUUAGUGAAAUUUUUUGCUUAAGUUCAGUUCUAAAAGUCUUGUUUUUAUUUCUAUAUAGAUAGCUUAUCAUGUAAGUUUAAGUCAUCUUCACUUCCUCUCUUGUAACCAAUCUCUUAUUUUUCUCUCAAAAGCAAUAUACAUACAGGCGCAUCAUUUAUCUUGGAA